GACGAACGCUGGCGGCGUGCUUAACACAUGCAAGUCGAACGGAAAGGCCCCCACCUUGGUGGGGGUGCUCGAGUGGCGAACGGGUGAGUAACACGUGGGUGAUCUGCCCUGUACUUCGGGAUAAGCUUGGGAAACUGGGUCUAAUACCGGAUAGGACCAUGGUUUAGUGUCUCAUGGUGGAAAGAUUUUUUGGUGCAGGAUGAGCUCGCGGCCUAUCAGCUUGUUGGUGGGGUAAUGGCCUACCAAGGCGUCGACGGGUAGCCGGCCUGAGAGGGUGGACGGCCACAUUGGGACUGAGAUACGGCCCAGACUCCUACGGGAGGCAGCAGUGGGGAAUAUUGCACAAUGGGCGCAAGCCUGAUGCAGCGACGCCGCGUGGGGGAUGACGGCCUUCGGGUUGUAAACUCCUUUCGUUAGGGACGAAGCCGCACCUUUUUU
RNAcentral lists this ribosomal RNA (438 nucleotides) under Corynebacterium sp. oral taxon B00. RNAcentral's name for it is "bacterial SSU rRNA". It matches the Rfam family "Bacterial small subunit ribosomal RNA", at positions 28 to 463 of the family's 1533-position model. The record is from RNAcentral. Lineage: Bacteria; Bacillati; Actinomycetota; Actinomycetes; Mycobacteriales; Corynebacteriaceae.